CGGGAUAGCUCAGCUGGUAAAGCAAAGGACUGAAAA
This 36-nucleotide transfer RNA is filed under the name Aquilaria yunnanensis. Its description in RNAcentral is "partial tRNA-Phe". Lineage: Eukaryota; Viridiplantae; Streptophyta; Magnoliopsida; Malvales; Thymelaeaceae. The record is from RNAcentral.